RNAcentral lists this ribosomal RNA (423 nucleotides) under uncultured bacterium. RNAcentral describes it as "bacterial SSU rRNA". It matches the Rfam family "Bacterial small subunit ribosomal RNA", at positions 207 to 622 of the family's 1533-position model. The record is from RNAcentral.
AAGACCUUGCGCUUUUGGAGCGGCCGAUGUCUGAUUAGCUUGUUGGUAAGGUAAAAGCUUACCAAGGCUUCGAUCAGUAGCUGGUCUGAGAGGACGACCAGCCACACUGGGACUGAGACACGGCCCAGACUCCUACGGGAGGCAGCAGUGGGGAAUUUUGGACAAUGGGGGCAACCCUGAUCCAGCCAUGCCGCGUGAGUGAAGGAGGCCUUCGGGUUGUAAAGCUCUUUCAGCCGGAACGAAACGGUUACGGUUAAUACCCGUGACUACUGACGGUACCGGAAGAAGAAGCACCGGCUAACUACGUGCCAGCAGCCGCGGUAAUACGUAGGGUGCAAGCGUUAAUCGGAAUUACUGGGCGUAAAGCGUGCGCAGGUGGUUUUGUAAGUCAGAUGUGAAAUCCCCGGGCUUAACCUGGGAACU